GACGAACGCUGGCGGCGUGCUUAACACAUGCAAGUCGAACGGAAAGGCCCUGCUUGCAGGGUACUCGAGUGGCGAACGGGUGAGUAACACGUGGGUGAUCUGCCCUGCACUUCGGGAUAAGCCUGGGAAACUGGGUCUAAUACCGGAUAUGACCUUCCAUGUAGUGUGGGGGGUGGAAAGAUUUAUCGGUGUGGGAUGAGCCCGCGGCCUAUCAGCUUGUUGGUGGGGUAAUGGCCUACCAAGGCGUCGACGGGUAGCCGGCCUGAGAGGGUGGACGGCCACAUUGGGACUGAGAUACGGCCCAGACUCCUACGGGAGGCAGCAGUGGGGAAUAUUGCACAAUGGGCGGGAGCCUUAUGCAGCGACGCCGCGUGGGGGAUGACGGCCUUCGGGUUGUAAACCUCUUUCGACAGGGACGAAGCUUCGGUGACGGUACCUGUAGAAGAAGCACCGGCUAACUACGUG
This 465-nucleotide ribosomal RNA is filed under the name uncultured bacterium. RNAcentral's name for it is "partial 16S ribosomal RNA". It matches the Rfam family "Bacterial small subunit ribosomal RNA", at positions 28 to 507 of the family's 1533-position model. The record is from RNAcentral.